CACGUAGGGUGCGAGCGUUGUCCGGAAUUAUUGGGCGUAAAGAGCUCGUAGGCGGUGUGUCGCGUCGGCCGUGAAAACCUGUGGCUUAACUAUGGGCUUGCGGUCGAUACGGGCAUCACUGGAGUUCGGCAGGGGAGACUGGAAUUCCUGGUGUAGCGGUGAAAUGCGCAGAUAUCAGGAGGAACACCGGUGGCGAAGGCGGGUCUCUGGGCCGAUACUGACGCUGAGGAGCGAAAGCAUGGGGAGCGAACAGG
This 254-nucleotide ribosomal RNA is filed under the name uncultured bacterium. RNAcentral's name for it is "partial 16S ribosomal RNA". It matches the Rfam family "Bacterial small subunit ribosomal RNA", at positions 524 to 776 of the family's 1533-position model. The record is from RNAcentral.